Non-coding RNA from Coturnix japonica (Japanese quail), 739 nucleotides. The record is from RefSeq and is a predicted model, not a curated record. NCBI's taxonomy places the organism in Eukaryota, Metazoa, Chordata, Aves, Galliformes, Phasianidae.
AUCUUAGAAGCCUUGGAGUUGGAAGGUGCUCAUAAAGGCAAUCUAGCCCAGCUCCCCUGCAACGAACAGAGACACCUACAGCUCCAUCAGAUCCAGAGCCUGUCCUGAGAAGUGCACGGUAUAUCCAGGUCACUGGAAAACAGUCAAGGAUUUGCAUCUCAUCCUGUUCGUGUCAGACCCAGAUGGACUGCACCUGGCCAGGAAAUGAAGAGCCUUGAAGAACAAUGGCAUCCACUAAGGAUAAAGUCAUGGUGAUGAAAUAAUUGUUUCUCAAUGUAAUUGGAGCUGAAGCAGAGAAGAUUCAUGUCUUGUUCUCCCCAACAGAACAUGAAGGAAAUGAAGGAGAGCUAAGAACACAAAGAAUGGCACUUGCAGGAGAGGAAAAAUGUCUAUGUUUAGAAAGAGCAGCAUUUCCCACAGAGUAACCCACAUAUGGAAAGAAGUUCUAACAGAUGAAAAAGAAAUGACUACGAGAAAAUAAUAGAAGUGUGAGAAUCCUCAAGAAGAAAGUCUCACAGACUUAAUUACUGCUACACAGUGAGCUACUGCCACUAGGCGGCAGAAUGAUUCUCUUUGCCAGGGCAACGAGUUAGCUGACUUAAAUUCCUACUAAAAAGCUACAAAAAUGUGUUAAUAAUAUUGUCUGCUGCCCUACAUUUGUCUCUUAAAACCUUUAAAUCUGUAAUGGAAUUGUAAAUGAUUCUGUAAGAAUUGUACACUUGUUAAUGCCAGUCAUACC